Molecule: ribosomal RNA, 254 nt
Filed under: uncultured bacterium
Lineage: Bacteria
Also listed under: 1 other name
Description: partial 16S ribosomal RNA
Rfam family: Bacterial small subunit ribosomal RNA
Source: RNAcentral
UACGGGGGGAGCAAGCGUUGUUCGGAUUUACUGGGCGUAAAGGGCGCGUAGGCGGCCACUGCAAGUCAGUUGUGAAAUCUCCGGGCUUAACUCGGAAAGGUCAAUUGAUACUGCAGGGCUAGAGUGCAGAAGGGGCAACUGGAAUUCUCGGUGUAGCGGUGAAAUGCGUAGAUAUCGAGAGGAACACCUGCGGCGAAGGCGGGUUGCUGGGCUGACACUGACGCUGCAGCGCGAAAGCCAGGGGAGCGAACGGG